ACUCCUACGGGAGGCAGCAGUGGGGAAUUUUGGACAAUGGGGGAAACCCUGAUCCAGCCAUGCCGCGUGAGUGAAGAAGGCCUUCGGGUUGUAAAGCUCUUUCAGACGGAAAGAAACGGUUACAGAUAAUACCUGUGACUAAUGACGGUACCGUCAGAAGAAGCACCGGCUAACUACGUGCCAGCAGCCGCGGUAAUACGUAGGGUGCGAGCGUUAAUCGGAAUUACUGGGCGUAAAGCGUGCGCAGGCGGUUUUGUAAGACAGACGUGAAAUCCCCGGGCUUAACCUGGGAACUGCGUUUGUGACUGCAAGACUAGAGUACGGCAGAGGGGGGUAGAAUUCCACGUGUAGCAGUGAAAUGCGUAGAUAUGUGGAGGAAUACCGAUGGCGAAGGCAGCCCCCUGGGUCGAUACUGACGCUCAUGCACGAAAGCGUGGGGAGCAAACAGGAUUAGAUACCCUGGUAGUCCACGCCCUAAACGAUGUCAACUAGGUGUUGGGGAAGGAGACUUCUUUAGUACCGCAGCUAACGCGAUAAGUUGACCGCCUGGGGAGUACGGUCGCAAGAUUAAAACUCAAAGGAAUUGACGG
This 590-nucleotide ribosomal RNA is filed under the name uncultured Sideroxydans sp. Its description in RNAcentral is "bacterial SSU rRNA". It matches the Rfam family "Bacterial small subunit ribosomal RNA", at positions 335 to 916 of the family's 1533-position model. Lineage: Bacteria; Pseudomonadati; Pseudomonadota; Betaproteobacteria; Nitrosomonadales; Gallionellaceae. The record is from RNAcentral.